GGAUAGCUUGGCUGGUUAGAACAUGAUGCUGAUAACACCAAGGUUACAGGUUCAAUCCCUGUAUGGGACA
Molecule: non-coding RNA, 70 nt
Organism: Podarcis lilfordi (Lilford's wall lizard)
Lineage: Eukaryota; Metazoa; Chordata; Lepidosauria; Squamata; Lacertidae
Source: the annotation of a GenBank genome assembly